CCUACGGGGGGCUGCAGCUAAGAAUAUUCCGCAAUGGACGAAAGUCUGACGGAGCGACGCCGCGUGGAUGACGAAGGCCGAAAGGUUGUAAAGUCCUUUUGUCGAUGAAGAAUAAGUGUGGGAGGGAAUGCCCGCAUGAUGACGUUAGUCGGCGAAUAAGCCCCGGCUAAUUACGUGCCAGCAGCCGCGGUAACACGUAAGGGGCAAGCGUUGUUCGGAAUUAUUGGGCGUAAAGGGUACGUAGGCGGUUUGGUAAGCCCGGCGUGAAAUCCUGCAGCUUAACUGUAGAGCUGCGCUGGGAACUGCGAAACUUGAGUCAUGGAAGGGGAGUUAGAAUUCCAGGUGUAGGGGUGAAAUCUGUAGAUAUCUGGAAGAAUACCGGUGGCGAAGGCGAACUCCUGGCCAAUGACUGACGCUGAGGUACGAAAGUGCGGGGAGCAAACAGGAUUAGAUACCCUAGUAGUC
Molecule: ribosomal RNA, 465 nt
Filed under: Weissella confusa
Lineage: Bacteria; Bacillati; Bacillota; Bacilli; Lactobacillales; Lactobacillaceae
Description: bacterial SSU rRNA
Rfam family: Bacterial small subunit ribosomal RNA
Source: RNAcentral